Molecule: ribosomal RNA, 2774 nt
Filed under: Escherichia coli
Lineage: Bacteria; Pseudomonadati; Pseudomonadota; Gammaproteobacteria; Enterobacterales; Enterobacteriaceae
Description: bacterial LSU rRNA
Rfam family: Bacterial large subunit ribosomal RNA
Source: RNAcentral
AGCGUACACGGUGGAUGCCCUGGCAGUCAGAGGCGAUGAAGGACGUGCUAAUCUGCGAUAAGCGUCGGUAAGGUGAUAUGAACCGUUAUAACCGGCGAUUUCCGAAUGGGGAAACCCAGUGUGUUUCGACACACUAUCAUUAACUGAAUCCAUAGGUUAAUGAGGCGAACCGGGGGAACUGAAACAUCUAAGUACCCCGAGGAAAAGAAAUCAACCGAGAUUCCCCCAGUAGCGGCGAGCGAACGGGGAGGAGCCCAGAGCCUGAAUCAGUGUGUGUGUUAGUGGAAGCGUCUGGAAAGGCGCGCGAUACAGGGUGACAGCCCCGUACACAAAAAUGCACAUGCUGUGAGCUCGAUGAGUAGGGCGGGACACGUGGUAUCCUGUCUGAAUAUGGGGGGACCAUCCUCCAAGGCUAAAUACUCCUGACUGACCGAUAGUGAACCAGUACCGUGAGGGAAAGGCGAAAAGAACCCCGGCGAGGGGAGUGAAAAAGAACCUGAAACCGUGUACGUACAAGCAGUGGGAGCCUCUUAAUGGGGUGACUGCGUACCUUUUGUAUAAUGGGUCAGCGACUUAUAUUCUGUAGCAAGGUUAACCGAAUAGGGGAGCCGAAGGGAAACCGAGUCUUAACUGGGCGUUAAGUUGCAGGGUAUAGACCCGAAACCCGGUGAUCUAGCCAUGGGCAGGUUGAAGGUUGGGUAACACUAACUGGAGGACCGAACCGACUAAUGUUGAAAAAUUAGCGGAUGACUUGUGGCUGGGGGUGAAAGGCCAAUCAAACCGGGAGAUAGCUGGUUCUCCCCGAAAGCUAUUUAGGUAGCGCCUCGUGAAUUCAUCUCCGGGGGUAGAGCACUGUUUCGGCAAGGGGGUCAUCCCGACUUACCAACCCGAUGCAAACUGCGAAUACCGGAGAAUGUUAUCACGGGAGACACACGGCGGGUGCUAACGUCCGUCGUGAAGAGGGAAACAACCCAGACCGCCAGCUAAGGUCCCAAAGUCAUGGUUAAGUGGGAAACGAUGUGGGAAGGCCCAGACAGCCAGGAUGUUGGCUUAGAAGCAGCCAUCAUUUAAAGAAAGCGUAAUAGCUCACUGGUCGAGUCGGCCUGCGCGGAAGAUGUAACGGGGCUAAACCAUGCACCGAAGCUGCGGCAGCGACGCUUAUGCGUUGUUGGGUAGGGGAGCGUUCUGUAAGCCUGCGAAGGUGUACUGUGAGGUAUGCUGGAGGUAUCAGAAGUGCGAAUGCUGACAUAAGUAACGAUAAAGCGGGUGAAAAGCCCGCUCGCCGGAAGACCAAGGGUUCCUGUCCAACGUUAAUCGGGGCAGGGUGAGUCGACCCCUAAGGCGAGGCCGAAAGGCGUAGUCGAUGGGAAACAGGUUAAUAUUCCUGUACUUGGUGUUACUGCGAAGGGGGGACGGAGAAGGCUAUGUUGGCCGGGCGACGGUUGUCCCGGUUUAAGCGUGUAGGCUGGUUUUCCAGGCAAAUCCGGAAAAUCAAGGCUGAGGCGUGAUGACGAGGCACUACGGUGCUGAAGCAACAAAUGCCCUGCUUCCAGGAAAAGCCUCUAAGCAUCAGGUAACAUCAAAUCGUACCCCAAACCGACACAGGUGGUCAGGUAGAGAAUACCAAGGCGCUUGAGAGAACUCGGGUGAAGGAACUAGGCAAAAUGGUGCCGUAACUUCGGGAGAAGGCACGCUGAUAUGUAGGUGAAGCGACUUGCUCGUGGAGCUGAAAUCAGUCGAAGAUACCAGCUGGCUGCAACUGUUUAUUAAAAACACAGCACUGUGCAAACACGAAAGUGGACGUAUACGGUGUGACGCCUGCCCGGUGCCGGAAGGUUAAUUGAUGGGGUUAGCGGUAACGCGAAGCUCUUGAUCGAAGCCCCGGUAAACGGCGGCCGUAACUAUAACGGUCCUAAGGUAGCGAAAUUCCUUGUCGGGUAAGUUCCGACCUGCACGAAUGGCGUAAUGAUGGCCAGGCUGUCUCCACCCGAGACUCAGUGAAAUUGAACUCGCUGUGAAGAUGCAGUGUACCCGCGGCAAGACGGAAAGACCCCGUGAACCUUUACUAUAGCUUGACACUGAACAUUGAGCCUUGAUGUGUAGGAUAGGUGGGAGGCUUUGAAGUGUGGACGCCAGUCUGCAUGGAGCCGGCCUUGAAAUACCACCCUUUAAUGUUUGAUGUUCUAACGUUGGCCCCUGAUCGGGGUUGCGGACAGUGUCUGGUGGGUAGUUUGACUGGGGCGGUCUCCUCCUAAAGAGUAACGGAGGAGCACGAAGGUUGGCUAAUCCUGGUCGGACAUCAGGAGGUUAGUGCAAUGGCAUAAGCCAGCUUGACUGCGAGCGUGACGGCGCGAGCAGGUGCGAAAGCAGGUCAUAGUGAUCCGGUGGUUCUGAAUGGAAGGGCCAUCGCUCAACGGAUAAAAGGUACUCCGGGGAUAACAGGCUGAUACCGCCCAAGAGUUCAUAUCGACGGCGGUGUUUGGCACCUCGAUGUCGGCUCAUCACAUCCUGGGGCUGAAGUAGGUCCCAAGGGUAUGGCUGUUCGCCAUUUAAAGUGGUACGCGAGCUGGGUUUAGAACGUCGUGAGACAGUUCGGUCCCUAUCUGCCGUGGGCGCUGGAGAACUGAGGGGGGCUGCUCCUAGUACGAGAGGACCGGAGUGGACGCAUCACUGGUGUUCGGGUUGUCAUGCCAAUGGCACUGCCCGGUAGCUAAAUGCGGAAGAGAUAAGUGCUGAAAGCAUCUAAGCACGAAACUUGCCCCGAGAUGAGUUCU